GCCUAGAUGGUGAAAUGGUAGACACGCGAGAUUCCAAAUUUCGUGCUUAAAGCAUGGAGGUUCGAGUCCUCUUCAAGGCA
This 80-nucleotide transfer RNA is filed under the name Marchantia polymorpha subsp. ruderalis. It matches the Rfam family "tRNA". Rfam says of the family: Transfer RNA (tRNA) molecules are approximately 80 nucleotides in length. The record is from Rfam by way of RNAcentral. Lineage: Eukaryota; Viridiplantae; Streptophyta; Marchantiopsida; Marchantiales; Marchantiaceae.